GAUGAACGCUGGCGGCGUGCCUAAUACAUGCAAGUCGAGCGAACAGAUGAGGAGCUUGCUCCUCUGACGUUAGCGGCGGACGGGUGAGUAACGCGUGGAUAACCUACCUAUAAGACUGGGAUAACUUCGGGAAACCGGAGCUAAUACCGGAUAAUAUAUUGAACCGCAUGGUUCAAUAGUGAAAGACGGUUUUGCUGUCACUUAUAGAUGGAUCCGCGCCGCAUUAGCUAGUUGGUAAGGUAACGGCUUACCAAGGCAACGAUGCGUAGCCGACCUGAGAGGGUGAUCGGCCACACUGGAACUGAGACACGGUCCAGACUCCUACGGGAGGCAGCAGUAGGGAAUCUUCCGCAAUAGGCGAAAGCCUGACGGAGCAACGCCGCGUGAGUGAUGAAGGUCUUCGGAUCGUAAAACUCUGUUAUUAGGGAAGAACAAAUGUGUAAGUAACUAUGCACGUCUUGACGGUACCUAAUCAGAAAGCCACGGCUAACUACGUG
Molecule: ribosomal RNA, 497 nt
Filed under: uncultured bacterium
Lineage: Bacteria
Description: partial 16S ribosomal RNA
Rfam family: Bacterial small subunit ribosomal RNA
Source: RNAcentral